GUCUAUGGUCAUGCCACCUUCAGUGCACUUGAUCUCAUUUGAUUUUGGAAGCUAAGCAGAAUCAGGCCUAGUUAGUACUUGAAUGGGAGAUUAAAAUAGUCAAAUAAAUACCAUGUGGA
This is a ribosomal RNA of Cercocebus atys (sooty mangabey), 119 nucleotides long. The record is from Ensembl. Lineage: Eukaryota; Metazoa; Chordata; Mammalia; Primates; Cercopithecidae.